RNAcentral lists this ribosomal RNA (245 nucleotides) under uncultured bacterium. Its description in RNAcentral is "partial 16S ribosomal RNA". It matches the Rfam family "Bacterial small subunit ribosomal RNA", at positions 524 to 768 of the family's 1533-position model. The record is from RNAcentral.
UACGUAGGUGGCAAGCGUUGUCCGGAAUUACUGGGCGUAAAGGGCGUGUAGGCGGCCUUUUAAGUCAGGCGUGAAAGCCCGCGGCUUAACCGCGGGAUUGCGUUUGAAACUGGAGGGCUUGAGGAUCGGAGAGGGCAGUGGAAUUCCCAGUGUAGCGGUGAAAUGCGUAGAUAUUGGGAGGAACACCAGUGGCGAAGGCGACUGCCUGGACGACACCUGACGCUGAGGCGCGAAAGCCAGGGGAG